CCAGACUCCUACGGGAGGCAGCAGUGGGGAAUAUUGGGCAAUGGACGCAAGUCUGACCCAGCAACGCCGCGUGAAGGAAGAAGGCUUUCGGGUUGUAAACUUCUUUUAAGGGGGAAGAGUAGAAGACGGUACCCCUUGAAUAAGCCACGGCUAACUAUGUGCCAGCAGCCGCGGUAAUACGUAGGUGGCAAGCGUUGUCCGGAUUUACUGGGUGUAAAGGGCGUGCAGCCGGAGAGACAAGUCAGAUGUGAAAUCCGCGGGCUCAACCCGCGAACUGCAUUUGAAACUGUUUCCCUUGAGUAUCGGAGAGGUCAUCGGAAUUCCUAGUGUAGCGGUGAAAUGCGUAGAUAUUAGGAAGAACACCAGUGGCGAAGGCGGCUUACUGGACUGUAACUGACGUUGAGGCUCGAAAGCGUGGGGAGCAAACAGGAUUAGAUACCCCAGUAU
RNAcentral lists this ribosomal RNA (447 nucleotides) under uncultured bacterium. RNAcentral's name for it is "bacterial SSU rRNA". It matches the Rfam family "Bacterial small subunit ribosomal RNA", at positions 331 to 793 of the family's 1533-position model. The record is from RNAcentral.